UUAAGUAAGGAAGGGCGUACGGCGAAUGCCUUGCCACUCGAAACUGAAGAAGGACGCGCCAAACUGCGAAAAGCUCCGUGAAGCUGUAAGGAAGCGAAGAAGCGGAGGUGUCCGAAUGGGGGAACCCGGCAGCAGACAUGAGCUGUCAUCUGCAGGUGAAUACAUGGCCUGCAAGAGAGGUACCCGGCGAACUGAAACAUCUAAGUAGCCGGAGGAAAAGAAAACAACAGUGAUUCCCUGAGUAGCGGCGAGCGAAAGGGGAGAAGCCCAAACCGGUUGAAGGACCGGGGUUGAAGGACCAUGACAUGGCAAGAACGAGGAUAGGAGAACGGGAUCGAAAGCCCGGCCGAAGAAGGUGAAAGCCCUGUAACCGAAAUCCGAGUAAAGCCUAAUGGGAUCCUGAGUACGGCGAGACACGAGAAAUCUUGUCGGAAGCAGGCGGGACCAUCCGCCAAGGCUAAAUAUAAACGAGUGAGCGAUAGUGAACCAGUACCGUGAGGGAAAGGUGAAAAGAACCGCGGGAGCGGAGUGAAAGAGAACCUGAAACCGUAUGCCUACAAGAAGUCAGAGCCCGUUAAGGGGUGAUGGCGUGCCUUUUGUAGAAUGAACCGGCGAGUUGCGACAGACUGCGAGGUUAAGGAGGAAAGACCGGAGCCGAAGCGAAAGCGAGUCUUAAGAGGGCGAAAGUAGGAUGUUGCAGACCCGAAACCGGGUGAUCUAGCCAUGAGCAGGUUGAAGUUGAGGUGAAACUCAAUGGAGGACCGAACCGACUACCGUUGAAAAGUUAGCGGAUGACUUGUGGCUAGGGGAGAAAUUCCAAUCGAACCCGGAGAUAGCUGGUUCUCCCCGAAAUAGCUUUAGGGCUAGCGUCGGAAAGAACCUUAGUGAAGGUAGAGCACUGAAUGUGUGAUGGCCCCAUCCCGGGGUACUGAAUACAAUCAAACUGCGAAUGUCAUUAAGGAUGUCCGGCAGUCAGACUGUGAGUGAUAAGGUCCAUGGUCAAGAGGGAAACAGCCCAGACCGCCAGUUAAGGUCCCAAAAUACAGGCUAAGUGGAAAAGGAUGUGGGGAUGCCCAGACAACUAGGAGGUUGGCUCAGAAGCAGCCAUCCUUUAAAGAGUGCGUAACAGCUCACUAGUCGAGUGACCCUGCGCCGAAAAUGUACCGGGGCUAAGCCUGAUACCGAAACUGCGGAUUGUAGGAAACUAUAGUGGUAGGGGAGCGUUGUAUACGAGCAGAAGCCGUACCGUGAGGAGCGGUGGAUUGUAUAGAAGUGAGAAUGCCGGUGUGAGUAGCGAGAUGUAGGUGAGAAUCCUACACACCGAAAGCCCAAGGAUUCCAGGGGAAGGUUCGUCCGCCCUGGGUAAGUCGGGACCUAACGCGAGGCCGAAAGGCGUAGUGGAUGGAAAGCAGGCGAAAGAUUCCUGCACCCGUAUAUGGAGCGAAGGAGUGACGGAGACGGAUAGUGUGACCCUCUUAAUGGAUUGAGGGCGAAGCGAAGCGGCUGGUUACCAGGCAAAUCCGGUAACCAUAAGGCUAGAGCGUGACAGGUAAGCGAAAUCUUAGGAAAGUAGCGAAGCACAUGAUGACGGCUUCCAGGAAAAGCUUCUGGCAAUGCAUAUGCGGCCCGUACCAAAACCGACACAGGUGGGCAGGGAGAGAAUCCCGAGGUGAGCGAGAGAACUGUUGCCAAGGAACUCGGCAAAAUGACUCCGUAAGUUAGCGAGAAGGAGUGCUUAAGCAAUUAAGCCGCAGUGAAGAGGCCCAAGCGACUGUUUAACUAAAACACAGCUCUCUGCGAAGUCGCAAGACGAAGUAUAGGGGGUGACACCUGCCCGGUGCUGGAAGGUUAAGAGGAUCUGUUAAGAGCGAUCUGAAGCAGUGAUCCGAAGCCCCAGUGAACGGCGGCCGUAACUAUAACGGUCCUAAGGUAGCGAAAUUCCUUGUCAGGUAAGUUCUGACCCGCACGAAAGGUGUAACGAUUUGGGCGCUGUCUCGGCAGCAGACUCGGUGAAAUCUUAGUACCUGUGAAAAUGCAGGUUACCCGCAACUAGACGGAAAGACCCCAUGGAGCUUUACUGCAGCCUGAUAUUGAAUUCUGGUCAUACAUGUACAGGAUAGGUGGGAGACAAAGAGACGUGCACGCCAGUGUACGAGGAGUCGACGUUGGGAUACCACUCUUGUGUGACCGGGGUUCUAACCUGGUAUCGAGAACAGGUACGGGGAGAGUGUCAGGUGGGCAGUUUGACUGGGGCGGUCGCCUCCCAAAGAGUAACGGAGGCGCCCAAAGGUACGCUCAGAUUGGAUGGAAACCAAUCGUCGAGUGCAAUUGCAGAAGCGUGCUUGACUGUGAGACAGACAAGUCGAACAGGGACGAAAGUCGGGAAUAGUGAUCCGGCGGUGCCGAAUGGAAGGGCCGUCGCUCAACGGAUAAAAGCUACCCUGGGGAUAACAGGCU
Molecule: ribosomal RNA, 2457 nt
Filed under: human gut metagenome
Description: bacterial LSU rRNA
Rfam family: Bacterial large subunit ribosomal RNA
Source: RNAcentral